AUGGAGGCGGCCUUGGCGGAGUUCGAGUGCCUAGGGUCGGCCGGUCCCAUAACCGCGGUGGCGAACGAGUUCCUGCGCGAGCAGACCCCGCACAACGAGAACGAGUCGGAAGAGCAGCUCCGCCGCCUGUUCAACCCCGCCUCCUACGCCCUCCCCGUCGGCCCGCCCGUCUCCGCCGCCGCCAGACUCUUCGCCCUGCCACCCGACGACGACGUCGACCGUGUCAGCCGCCUCCCCGACGCGCUCCUCCGCGACGUCGUCUCCCGCCUCCCCGUCAAGGACGCCGCGCGCACGGCCGCGCUCUCCCACCGCUGGCGCGGGGUCUGGCGCUCCACGCCGCUCGUCCUCCACGACGCCGACCUCCUCCCCGACACCUCCGCCGUGUCCCUCGUCCUCGACGCGCACCCGGGGCCCUUCCGCUGCGUCCACCUCACCAGCACCCGCUCGCAGGGCUUCCGCGGCCUGCUCGCGCGGUGGCUCCGGCUCCUCGCCGCCAAGGGCGUCCAGGAGCUCGUCCUCAUCAACUGCCGCUGGCCGCUCGACUACGUCCUCCCCGCCAGCCUCCUGGGCCUGACCACCCUCACCCGCCUGUAUCUCGGCAUGUGGAGGUUCCCCGACACGGUCGGCCUCCCGCGCGCCACCUGCUUCCGCAAUCUCCGUGACCUCGGCCUCCACAACGUCCUGGUGGAGAGAAGGGAUCUGGACUUCAUCCUCGACAGGAGCCCCGUGCUGGAGACGCUCUGUGUCCAGGGCAAUGUGCUCAAGCUUCGCAUCCGGCUCGUCAGCCAGAGCCUCCGGUGCGUGAAGAUCAUCGGGUGCUUCAUCGAAGAGAUAUUCGUGUUGGACGCCCCAAAUCUUGAGCGGUUCAUCUAUUUUGAUGCUUGGCACCCUGUUGGCAACUGCACCACCACGGUCAAGAUCGGCCAUGCCCCCAAGCUGCACUUGUUGGGAUACUUGGCUUUGGACCCACGAAAGCAUGUCCUAGAUGUGGGCAACACCAUCAUCAAGGCUGGGAUAGGGAUGAGCCCAAGCACCAUGCUACCAGGUGUGAAAAUCCUGGCUUUGGAGGUGCGUUUCGCAGUCCGCAAUGAUGUCAAGAUGAUCCCCAAUGUCCUCAGAUGCUUUCCGAAUGUCGAGGCACUCCACAUCAUGUCUGGAAAAGAUGAUCAAUCUACUGGCAAGCUCAACCUGAAGUUCUGGCACAAGUCCGGUGUCAUAGAAUGCAUACGGUCGCGCAUAAAGCUGCUGGUUGUCCGGGAUUUCAAAGGGGGGCGAAGCGAGAUGGCCUUCCUCAAAUUCUUCUUUCAGACUGCGUUGGUGCUGGAGGAGGUGGUGAUUCUGUUGCCCGAUGAUCCGACGGAUCAUAUGUAUCGCAAGGUGGUGUCCCUGAGGCACAUCGAACGGGCCAGUGAAGCGUCCUUACUGUGGGCAAGCAAGUCUGUUCCUCGAGGCUUCCUUCGGAGCGUCGAGAGAGCAUCUGAUUUCUCCCUCGACGACCCUUUUGCCAACUACUGUCGCAUUGGGUUGCAUCGCCUCGGCUAUCAUCAUGAGGACUCAUGUACAGAGUACAUUAUGAAUUUACAAAGCCCUCAAGCAGUACAUCAUGAAGCAAUUGCAUAA
This 1620-nucleotide ribosomal RNA is filed under the name Triticum aestivum (bread wheat). RNAcentral describes it as "partial small subunit ribosomal RNA". Lineage: Eukaryota; Viridiplantae; Streptophyta; Magnoliopsida; Poales; Poaceae. The record is from RNAcentral.